UAGCCAUGCUCAGAUUUUUCUUCCAUUUUCCCUGAGUAUAUACACGACCCUUUCCUGCACCCAGCGUCCUGUACCCAACUAAGAACACUUUGCCUGGCACUGCUAACACGCGCAAGAACACUUCAUUGAUCCUGGCUUCCUGUUGGAAGCAAAACCAUGGGCAUCUUGGAUCACCUCUCCGAUAUGUGCAGUAUGACCCAGACAAAGAACGCCCUCAAGCCCAGGAAGAGGCGGCCACUGCAGACUGUAAACAUCAAGGUGAAGAUGGACUGUGAGGGCUGCGAGAGGAGGGUCAAGAACGCGGUGAAAUCGAUGCGGGGUGUGACGGCGGUGUCCGUGACUCCAAAGAUGAGCAAGGUGACGGUGACUGGGUACGUGGAGCCGAGCAAGGUGCUGGCGCGAGUGAAGAGCACCGGGAAGGGGGCGGAGAUGUGGCCCUACGUGCCCUACUCGCUCACCACCUACCCCUACGUCGGCGGCGCCUACGACAAGAAGGCCCCCGCCGGCUUCGUCCGCAGCGCGCCGCUGGCCAUGGCCGACCCUGGUGCACCGGAGGUCCGGUACAUGAACAUGUUCAACGACGAGGACGUCAACGCCUGCUCCAUCAUGUGACGUGGUCGACCAUCUCAGACAUCUCCACACCAGCGAUAACAGAUACGGAGUACAUCGCUACUCUACAUGCAGGCUAUGCUGCCUACUAGUUAAUCUACGCGCGUACGAUUUCCAUGAGCAUAUGAGCUCGGGAGCAGAAAAACCAGUCCGCCAAGAAUACCUUUCAAUUUUGAAGUCCAAAUCCGAAACAAAAUGAAGUAUAGUGUGGCUACGGCAUAAAAUGUUUGGAUAACAUAAUACCUGCAUUUUUUCUCUCUGUUUUGUUUUUGGGUAUGUGAAUCUACACCGUCUGCAUUUGAUCGUAAACCACAGAUAACAAUCCGAGAGCCGUGUGGUACAAAUUCAUUUUUCA
RNA transcript from Lolium rigidum, 964 nucleotides. It is a transcript of the gene named heavy metal-associated isoprenylated plant protein 20-like, with no coding region annotated. The transcript is spliced from 4 exons. Lineage: Eukaryota; Viridiplantae; Streptophyta; Magnoliopsida; Poales; Poaceae. The record is from RefSeq and is a predicted model, not a curated record.